Molecule: long non-coding RNA, 3605 nt
Filed under: Homo sapiens (human)
Lineage: Eukaryota; Metazoa; Chordata; Mammalia; Primates; Hominidae
Description: HSALNT0396458
Source: RNAcentral
UACUUGGGGAAGACUUUGCUCCUCCCUGGGCCUUAGUUUCCCCAUCUGUAACAAGGAUAAAAUAGACCCUGCCUCAGAGGAAUAAAUGGGACGUGGUAACGAAAGCCUGGUACAUGAUAAGUGCCUCAUUCAUUUAUUCCUUUAUUCAUUUGUCACUUCAUUCAUUCAUUCAUUGGUUCCUUUGCAGAUAUGCACUGAGAGUUGGCCCUGUGCCAGGCAUAAAUGGCUCACUGAGGUGGUGCGAGGGGCCUUUAAGGUUAUGAACCCGAAUAAGCGGAGACCAUGACCACCAGGGAGGUAGAGUCUGGCUUGUCCCUAUCAUAUAGAUGAGGAAACCAAGGUUGGGUGUGGGAGAAAGUCUACUGGGGGGGUCACGCUUCCAUGAGGACCAACGAGCUGUCAUCUCAGGGCCCUUCUCUGGGGGACCCAGGAGGACUUUGACCUCUGGAGGUUCUGGUCUCUGGGUUCAAGUCUCAGCUCAGCCUCCAACUUUCUGGGCAAUCACGCAUCUCAAACUUGGUUCCCUUCUCCAUAAGCUGGUGGAAUCUGAAAUCCUGGGGGUUGAAAGAAACAGCGUCAGAGGCCGGGCAUGAUGGCUUAUGCCUGUAAUCCCAGCACUUUGGGAGGCUGAAGUGGGAGGAUCAUUUGAGUCCCAGAAUUCGAGACUACCCUGAGCAACAUAGUGAGAUCUUGUCUGUAUGAAAAAUACAAAUAUUAGCGAGGCGUGGUGGCACAUGCCUGUAAUCCCAGCUACUCAGGAGGCUGAAGUGGGAGGAUCGCUUGAGCGUGGAAGUUCGAGGCUGCAAUGAGCUGUGGUCGAGAACUGCACAGCACUCCAGCCUGGGCAGCACAGCAAGACCCCGUCUCCAAAAAAAAAAAAAAAAAAAAAAAAAGGGCUUUUGAGCGCUUCUCGCCAGCCUCUGCUGCUCCCUGGUGGCCUCCUCUGGCCUACCCUCUGCCCUGGCCGCUCCAGCUGGGUCCAGCGUUUCUCAACGCGUCCCCACGUAACCCCCGGACAGUCCUCUUGCUCCCUCUCUGCUGUGCAGGGUGGACCUGUCCCUCCCCCGGGGCUGUGACACUGCGGCGGCUACGCGGGCACCUGUUGCCGGCUGGAGCGUACCUCCUGCCCUCGCCAGGAGAGUGGGUUAGGCACCUAGUUCUUUCUCCUUCCACCCUGGUCAGGCAUCCUCCUGGAAACCCCGUUGGAAAAGGGGAGAUCCGGCCGGGUGCGGUGUCUCACUCCUGUAAUCCCAGCACUUUGGGGGGCCGAGGCGGACGGGUCUCUUGAGAUCCGUUCAAGACCAGUCUGGCCAACAUGGUGAAACCCCGUCUCUACUAAAAAUACAAGAAUUAGCCGGGCGUGGUGGCGGCCGCCUGUAAUCCCAGCUACUUGGGAGGCUGAGGCGGGAGAAUCGCUUGAGCCCGGGAGGCGGAGGUUGCAGUGAGCCGAGAUCGUGCCACUGCACUCCAGCCUGGCGACAGAGCGAGACUGUCUCAAUCAAUCAAUCAAUCAAUCAAUGGGAGAUCCGAGCGGGAUCCCCUACUUGCAAAGCCCUGCCGACCAAUGUAAACAUAUGCAAAUUGUGCAAAUACAUGUAAAUGGACCCCUUCUCUCCAGGGAAGUUCUGGGAAGGCAUAGCUUCUCUUCUUCCCACCGUGGGGUCCAGGCUGCGGCCAGAGGCCUGGGCUGAGGCCGGUUCAUUGAGUGCAUACUGUGUGCAGGGCCCUCCGGCAGGUGCUGGGGACACAGCAUGAUCCAGGUGGACCCACCCCAGGGUGGUGAUGGCCCUGACCUCACCAGCAGAUAAAUACUGAUUUCAGCUGGGCACUGUGGCUCACACUUAUAAUCCCAGCACUUUGGGAGGCUGAGGUGGGAGGAUCGCCAGAGCCCGGGAGGUCAAGGCUGCAGUGAGCAGUGAUCACACCAGUGAAUUCCAGCCUGGAUACAGGUUGAGCAGAGACAGACAAUCACGGGGUAUCUUCUGGGCCUCCGGAAGGGGUGUGGAUUUUGUUCUGAGGGUGCUGGGGAACUGUAGGAGAGUUUGGAGCAGGUGAGGAGUCUGAUGAGAUUUCUAGAUUCUGAAAAAUGGGUCAUAUCCAAGUGGCGGGAGUGGGGUGGCUGCCGAGUGGGGGGAGGGGGGUGGAUUUGGAAAGCACUUUGGAAUUCCUAAGGAGGCCUGGAGUGAAGGCCCCUGCAGAGUGUGCAGGACCAUCUCCUGCCCUAGCGGAGGGAAUUGUGAGCCUGGAGAGGAAAAGCAGCAGAGUGGGGAGAAUCAGGUCACACCUUCCUUGACUGUGAUUCCAAUGACAGAAGCGGGCAGCAGGACCCCAGGAUGUGAGUUAGGAAGGGCCCAAGGCCGCGGCAGACAAUGUGAGCAGAAUGUGCAGGAAUGGGAGAGUGGUGGCAGUGUCGGGGCGCUGUCCCCUGCCCCUUGGUUCCCUGGGAGAUGCAGCAGGGGUUGGGGUGAGAAGUUGUGAGCUGCUGUGACUGCAGCACGACCUGCUGGGUGGCCCUGGACAUCAAUUCCCCUUCUGUGAGCUAGGAGUGACAGUGGGAUUUGAACCCACGCCAUGGGGAGCCAGAAUCUGUCCUUGAACUUCAACUCUGCACUCAACAAGUGCAAAAAGGCCAGUUUCGGUGGCUCAUGCCUGUAAUCUCAGCACUUUGGGAGGCCAAGCCAGGAAGAUGGCUGGAGGCUAGGAGUUGGAGACCAGCCUGAACAAUAUAGUGAGACCCCAACUCUACAAUUUUGUUUGUUUGUUUGUUUGUUGUAUUUUUAGUAGAGAAGGGGUUUCACCAUGUUGGCCAGGCUGGUCUCGAACUCCUGACCUCACAUGAUCCACCCACCUCUGCCUCCCAAAGUGCUAGGACUACAGGUGUGAGCCACCAUGCCCAGCCAAAAAUUUUUAAAAGUUAGCCGAGUUUGGUGGUGUGCACCUGUGGUCCCAGCUACUUAGGAGGCUGAAGCAGAAGGAUUGGUUGAGCUGGGGAGGUUGAGGCUGCAGUGAGCGGUGAUUGCGCCACUGCACUUUAGCCUGGGCGACAGAAGAAGACCCUGUCUCUAAAAAAAUAAAUAAAUGCAAACUAUUCUUCCUUGUUGCUGCUGCUGUCUGUAAGAUUCCACAAUUCGACUGGGCACGGUGCUCACGCUUGUAAUCCCAACACUUUUGGAGGCCCAGGCAGGUGGAUCAUCUGAAGUCAGGAGUUCAAGCCCACCCUGGCCAACAUGAAGAAACCCCGUGUCUACUAAAAACACAAAAAACUAGCCAGGCAUGGUGGCAGGCAUGUGUAAUCCCAGCUACUCGGGAGGCUGAAGCAGGAGAAUCGCUUGAACCCAAGAGGCAGAGGUUGCAGUAAGCUAAGAUCAUGCCAUUGCACUCCAACCUGGGCAGCAAGAGUGAAACUCCAUCUCAAAAAAAAAAAAAAAAAAAAAAAGAUUCCAUAAUUCUAAGUCCUGAGACUCAACUGUGAGUCUCAGAUUCUGUGAUUCUCAUAUAGUCUCUCUUGGUUGCAGGAACUGGGGCUGGGGUCUCUUGGGGUCCCUACUCGUCUGUCCUGCUUUGGCACUGCCUUUGUCCCCACUGGUUCUGACUCAGGAGCAGAA